Molecule: ribosomal RNA, 396 nt
Filed under: uncultured bacterium
Lineage: Bacteria
Description: partial 16S ribosomal RNA
Rfam family: Bacterial small subunit ribosomal RNA
Source: RNAcentral
AUACGUAGGGGACAAGCGUUAUCCGGAUUUACUGGGUGUAAAGGGAGCGCAGACGGCAGUGCAAGUCUGAAGUGGAAGCCCGGGGAUCAACCCCGGGACUGCUUUGGAAACUGGUCUGCUGUAGUACUGGAAGGGCAAGCGGAAUUCCGGGGUUAGCGGUGAAAUGCGUAGAUAUCAGGAGGAACACCGGUGGCGAAGGCGGCUUGCUGGACAGCAACUGACGUUGAGGCUCGAGAGCGUGGGGAGCAAACAGGAUUAGAUACCCUGGUAGUCCACGCUGUAAACGAUGAAUACUAGGUGUUGGAAGACUAAGUCUUUCAGUGCCGUCGCAAACGCAGUAAGUAUUCCACCUGGGGAGUACGUUCGCAAGAAUGAAACUCAAAUGAAUUGGCGGGG